Long non-coding RNA from Prunus persica (peach), 485 nucleotides. RefSeq lists it as uncharacterized. NCBI's taxonomy places the organism in Eukaryota, Viridiplantae, Streptophyta, Magnoliopsida, Rosales, Rosaceae. The transcript has 2 exons. The record is from RefSeq and is a predicted model, not a curated record.
UCAAAAACCUUCAGUAACUUUUUCCCGCUUGCAACAAUUGUAUUUGAUUCAGAAUUAUGUCCUAUAUUGGUGGGUGGAGUGUUACUUCUGGGUACCCCUCAUCAUUCGUCUAUAAAAUGGUGAAGCCAGUUGCUACUGUUACCAUAAGAUCCAGCUCCGACUUUCUUUAAUUUCUUGCUUCAUAUCCACUAGCUACAUCUGUUGCCGAGUUAAUUUCAGUCCUAAUGGGGUUUCAUCUCCCACUCAUCUUUGCUAUUCUCAUUAGUUCAAAUUAAUGUUGCAGCUAGCAGCGGUGGCACUGGCAAUCCAUGCUGCGCAACCAGCACCUCAACUUUACUGGAACUCCGUCCUGCCAAACACACAGAUGCCAAGAUCUAUCAGUGAACUUCUGCAUCCUGGUUUGUGUUAAGCCAUUUAGAAUCUUAGAUAUUUUUUCUACCUGCCAUUUUACUGAAAUGUGUUCCGACCACAUAUUUAUCGGUUAA